AACUUCACCAAAUGCAGCAGGACCAUUACUUGCAGCUUUCAUCAUCCAUCUUUCAUAUCCAUCUGCCGUUUUCUUUCGAUUCUUCAUUUUUUCUUCUGCCUCCUCCAAUGUAAGUUGCUUAUACUGUGCCACUUUAUUGAAGUUGUACCUGAAAAUUGAGGUCAGUCUUUCUACUACCACCAUGCAUGACAAAAAUUUUCACAUGGACAAUAUAGAAACAUCCAAGAAUAGGAAAGAAUAAUAAACAUGUAUGAAGAAGACUAUGCCAAACAAAUAAAGGGAUAUAACCCGAUCCAUGGCAGACUAACUCAAAGAUAAACCAUACCAAGAACCUGCAGGAAUGGCAGUAAAUUCCUUUCCCUGCAAUACAAGCAAGUAGUAUGUUGCUGACUGUGAACCCUCAAGAUGACCUUGGAAUUGAAAUUGGCCUGUUUCAUCUUCCAACAGCCAAGGUCUAUUCUUGUACUUUUCCUAUGUUAACAUAAUCAAAAUUGAUCAGGGUCAAGCAGAACAAGAGUAAAAAUAACCAUUAAAAAGGAAAGAAACAAACAAACAAAAAAAGAAAGAAAAGGUAAGCAAUAUGCCAGAAAACAACUAACUUGAAGAGAGAAACAAGAAAAGAUAAAUGCAACAAGAUAUUAACCAAAUGCAUCUCCAGGGUCAAAACUGAGAGCCUGAGUUAUGGUUAACACAAGGUAAUAAUUAAAUAGUGAACACAAAACAAGUAGUUAUAUAGCCCAACAUCUGAUAUGCAAUUUGGAACUUUUUUCUUAAAAUAUCGAAUGUGCGUGUCCUCUUCUAAUACGUGAAGGGGACACAAUAAACCUUUUUAAAAUAAAAUAAAAAAACUCAUCUAAUCUAAUAAAAUAAAAAAACUCAUCUAAUCUUUCCCAACUCAAAACUAAUCAGCAUAUUGCCCCAACCCAAAGCUAAAGUAAAAAAUUUUAAAAAAUAGAAAAUAAUCUUUUUUUGAAAAAAAAUCAUGUUAUCAUCAAAUCCUCAUCUUCACAACUAAGUCCUCACAAAACCAAACAAAAAAUAUUUAACAGUUCAUUGAAGUUCUUCAUUUAUCUUAGUAGCUCUCCUUUUCUGACCUGUUCUAUUGUGUUCGAAAUGCUAUUAUUGUAUUUCAGUAUCUCUAAUGCUACUUUUCGUAUUGUAUUCCAAUGUUUGUAUUGUAUAUUUGUAUUUUGCACUAUUUUCAUUAAUUUGACAUUUAUGUUUUUAGUACCUUUGAGUUAAAUUUACCUAUAUUUUAAAAUCUUAGAAAAAAGUAUGCCCUCAGUAUAUUAAUUUCCUAGUGUUUUAGAAAUGGACGUAUCGAAGUAUUCAUAUUCAUCUGUGCUUCAUAGGUGUUCCCUAUAAAUUUUGUUGAAAGAUAGCAUCAAUUACUUUUUCCCUAGCUACUCUUAACAGUUAUAAGUUAUAACUUCUAAAAAGGAAAAUAGAUAUCAAAAGUCACCAAUAUCCAGGCUUCCAAAACAAUAAACUAUCCAAGACAAACUAAAGAAAGGAAGUAAAAUUGAAGCGAACUAAUUACCCGAAGGGCAUCCGAAAGUUGGCGUCCUUGUAGACCUUCCUUGUAAAGAGACCAUUUAUUCUCAGCAUUUCUCUUCUUCGAAAAGUUCGGAAGCCCACUCAUGAACCUACCGAUGAAGUAGUUCUUGUCGUUACUUGCACUUGCUCGAACAUUGUAUUCCUAAAAUAUAGUUCAUCAUGCACUCUCAGAAAGAGAAGGCAGACAGUACUCAAUCCACGCUAUUAUGAAAAUUCUUAAAUCUGUCAUAAAUAAGAACGCCUAAUCACAUGAGUACAAAUUUAAAACAUUCAAAUCAUGACGCUCCUUAAGAACAACGAGGUAAAGUACGAACUCUUAUUAAGCGAGUUACAGUAGCCCCACAAUCAUAACAUUUGCCCUUGUUCUCCGCCAUAGUUUUUCCACAAGUCAAACACAAUGUCAUAUGCUUGCAAUUGCUCCCAUACAACUCCGUCGUGGAUCCACAUCCACUGCACGAUUGCUUCAGGAGCAGAUCGAACGACAUCUCCCACCCCUUAAUUCAGCCACAAAUCUACAAUACCCAAAAACAAAAACACAAAUCACCACAGAAUCCCAUAUUCUCAUAUCUAUAAAUGUUUGGGCAUCUUGCUAUUCUCACCAGACAACUGACUCUCCUACGUUUGGUUGCUAAGGCAGUCAGUAAGCAACAAGGACCCUCCACAUAUAUUGUGUUAAACCCUAACGGGUGAGACCAUCUAAUUUGAAACUAUUUGUAAGGAUUUUGGUUCGCAAGCGCCGUUAAAAGCGAUGAAGAGGAAGGCGUUCGCUGUCUAAUCAUGUGUCGUCGUCACAGAUCCGGUGGUGGGUGAAGUUGUCUAGAACGAUAGAGGUCGAGCGAUGGACCGCGGUGGAGCAGGGGUGAGAGUGAGAAAGAGAGAGAGAAAUCCAAAAGAAAGAGAUAUAUAUAUUACCUCUGCUGCUGGCGACGGCCGGCUUAACGAGGGUGAAGCACGCAGAGGCGGCUGAGCAAUAGGGCAGCAGAGAAGGUGGUGGCGACGUGGAGGUGAGAAAAGCUGAGAUCAAGGGGAGAGAGCGUGAAGGGCCGAUCUCUAGGGCUGCCUUGCUUUGCUUUUUCCUUUAUUUUUUCUCCUUUUUCACUAUAUCGUAUUUGUAACUUUUGGUAACCGAGGUUUGAAUUUAAAUGUCAAUUUGAUUUUUAACUUCGAGACGAUGCUUCUUUGGGGAUUUGAAUGUAACCAAAUCAAUGGAACGAGUAUUGAAAUGAGCGAGGAAUGGAUGACAUGAUAGAAGAAAAAAUUGUAUAUAUCACCAACGCCCAACUCAAAAUACCAAAUGAUACAUUUUUAAAGCAUAAUGACUAUUGAUCUUCGGUUGCCUCAUCACCACACAAGAUCACCAAAUUACCCCUCAUGUUUGUCUUCAUAUCUUUUAGUGCAACCUAAAAUGAUAACUCUUCAAAUUCAACCGCGUACUACAUUUGACAUCUAUUAAUCCAUCAAACCCUAACCACAAUUAAGUUCGUCGUUAAAAACCACAAUUAAGAUUACGACGUCAGAGAUAUCCCGACACUUAAUCUUAUGCGUCGGAAGACCCUAUAUAUAUUUUUCUUUAAAUACCUUCUAUUAUUAAAAUGGAAGGUAUUAUGUAUACAGUCUUACCAAAAAAAUUGAAAUUAGUAUUACUUUCAAAAAAUUUAUUUAAAGUUAAAAAUUGCAAAAAUUGAACUCGUCUUACCAUUUUUAUACGGUAAGUUCAAGCAUAACCAAACAAAACAGGAACCAAAAUGCAAAUUCAUCAUAAGAUUUUCAUCAUAAAAUCAUAAAAUAAAAGAAGAAAGUUAAAUGAAAAAUAAACAAACAAAUAAAUCUACCCACCUUAUUAGUCGUCGUGAUUUGCCAUAACGGUAGCAAAUGUCCUCUAUCUCUUCUUCUCAUAUAUGUGAAGAAGGAGAAAAAAAGAAGAAAAGAAAAGAAAAAAGAAGAAAAGAAAAGAAAAAAAGAAGAAAAGAAGAAAAGAAGAAAAAUAAAAGAGAAGGGAGAGAGACUACAAGGAAAAAAGAGAAGAAAAGACAGUCUUGGAAUUUUAAAGGGAAACUCCCGAAGGCCAUUCAUAAUCGCGUCGAGAAAAGUUUAAAUUUUUUUAAAAAAUUAAUUUUUUAAACUUCUCUCGACAUCGUUAUGCAUGGCGUUGGAAAAAUUUUAAAGUUUUUUAUUGCAUUAACUUAUGCCGACAUCACCUUAUGUCCCGUUGGGAUUGUCAAUCUUUUCUAAUGGAGCUUCUACGAUGUUGAGAGAAGUUUUUUCUCCCGACAUCCGUGUUGUGCGUUGGAAAAUACAUAUUUUCUUGGAGUGUAACAUAAUGAUGAAAUUGCUUUCCAGAGAGAAGCACUGAAUCAAGAGAAAGAAAAGAAGAAGGAAGAAAAGGAAGGGAUGGUGAGAAGAGAGAGAUUAGAGAAAGAAGAAAAAGAGAAGAAGAAUGGAAUAAAAUAGAAGAGGUGGUCCGCGGGGAGGAGCAAGAAGAAGAAGUACAUGAAAUAGGUGCCUCCUCACCAAUUGUUAAAACUGAAUUAUUGAUACGAUGGCGAAGAAAACCCAGGAAAAGAAGGAGAAGGUAAAAUUUGGGAUCAUGAAAAUUAAAGUAGAAGUGCAAGGUGUUAAGGUCUUGGCGCAAGAGAAAAAAGGAAACCAAGUUAAGGGAGUGAGAAGUGCUCAUCAGCAAGACGGAUAAGGUAGCUCUAUCUGCGGAGAAGAGCAAAGGAAAAGAAAAGACAACAGAAGAGCAUUGCAAGGAGUUUGAGAGAGAAAUAGAUGAGUUAAGUUUUUUGGAGGAUGAGGUUGUGGAGAAGCAACCACAGAAAAAGAGGGUGUUGGAAGGUCAAGACGCCAAGAGGUGAGUAAAGAAGGAAAAGAAGGCUCAACAAGAAGAGGAGAGCCAAGAAAGCAAAGAAGAAGACGCCCUUUCUGCAGAAGAAUUGGACAAGCAUUUCAUGAUUGAGAAGGGGACUCUUCCCAUCUAAAGGCCAAAUGCCUUCGUUCCUCGCAUCACCCAUUAAGACACUAGGAUGGAAGAAGUUUUUCGAAGGGGUGACUGCGAUUCACUAGUUCACGUGAUUCACUAGUUCACUUCUUAUUAAUCUUGCAUUUAGGCACUGUAAUCAUGGUAAAACAAGCGUGAAAGCUUAUGUAAAAUCUAUUUCUAAGAAAUUAUGCAUUUUCAAUAAAAACUAUGCGUUUUGAUGUACUUCUUCCCUAUUUUGGUCUCAUCAUUCUAAUAAAAUAAGCUAUAAUAACUUGUAUUUCUACCGGUUAUUAAGAACUUUAAGCAAAAAGAGGCGAUGAAGGGUAAGGAAGAUGAGGUUGGUGAGGAUUACGUUUUUAAGUUCAUUGUUCAAUACGUAUGUAACCCAAUGAAAAAAGGAUUUGAAGACAUAAUUCAAUAUCAGAGAGCAACCUACAGGAGACGCAUUUGCGAAAUCAAAAGCAAAUAAGCAAUUUGAAACUUAAGCUUGACGACACAAAAGUACACAACCAAGGUCAGAUGGACCAACUCAAAACAAAGAUGACUAAGCUCAAAACACAUAAUCAAAGAGCUCCAAACACAACUUCAAACCAUCAGGGAGCAAAGUGAAACAUUAAUGGAUUUGGUUGAGCAGAUCGCCACAUGGAAUGACACCCCCUUUAGAGCUCUACUAAGAUAUCAACACUUAUUGAUGUGAAAAACCAUUCCUAUGUCGAGGUUAAAGACGUAGUAAGGCCCCUUACGCAACAUGAUAUUGCGGUUUGCGCCACGAAAAACCAUCCUCCAUCGCUGUCGCAACCUUAAAUUUUGGAGUGUUUGUAUUUUGUUUAUAGGUUGGAUCUUAAACCAGUUGUUUAAUAGUGGAUCGGUGGGACUUAAGAAGCAAUAUAUAAUCUCGGGGGUAAACCGGUAUUUUGACCCAACUAAGGUUACAAAUAACCUGUGAAAGAUUAAGUUACUAAUCAUGGUUAUAUUAGAUGGACAUAAAUAUAUCUAAAGUGAAGGGAGUGCAACUACGAAACUUUAAUAGAAUGACCUGUUAGUUAAUGAAUAUUGAUUAGCUUGGUCUAAAAGGGUUUAGCCAGUUAAUCUCAAAUCGUUGGAGCUAAUGAUCUAUAGGUUCAUUAGGCUUCCCUGCUAGCUCAUAUGAAAUAAACUUAUAACAAUAUGUUGGAAUAAUUUGAAUUGUUCGAAUUAGGUAAAAAGAGAGAAAUUGACGAAUAUAAGUAAUAUGAUUGUUAGUUAUCAAUUUGAGACAGAACUUUAUGUUUAAAUGUGAUUUAAAUAUUAAAAAUAUAAAUAUAGAUUCAUAUUCGGAAGCUCAGACUUGAUGGAAAUGGUUAAAGUUGUAAAAAAUCAAAAUGUUGAUUUUUUACUUUGAAAAGUCGAACUUUUCUGGAUUUUAUAUUCAAAUAUGAUUUGAAUUUCGAAAAGUGAAUGUGGAUUCAUGCUUGAGAGGUUGGAAUUAUUCAAGAUGGACAAAAUGGUAAAAAAUCAAAAUAUUGACUUUUGACUUGAAAAAGUCAAAGUUUGAAUUUGACUUGAAUGGUCAAAUGACCCUAUUGCCCUUGGACUAAGUUAGUGGAAAAAUCCAAUAUUUUGUUUGGGUAAUUCCACUAAUACUUGGUGGGAUAAAUGACUAUAUGAGAUGUAGACACCUAACCCACUAAGUUCCACUAAUGAUUAAUGGAAUGCUAGGUGUUUAGAUUUGGCCAACAAAUUACAUGUAAUUAGGUUAUAAAUAGAGAAAUUUUCAAAAGUAACAAAUUUUACAAAAUAUAUAUAACUUAUAGCAAAUUUUAUCACUGAUAGUCAUUGAUAUGUUAUAGUGAUAAAAUCCAAAAUUUUUCUAUAGUUUGAAAAAGAUUUUUGACCAAAAUUUGUAAUUUUUAAUUACAAUAUUCUUCCAAAUUUAUUUCUCUCCCAGUUCUCAAACCUAAAUUUUCACUUCCAAAUUUCAUCUCUCUCUAGAUUUCCUCCACCUGAUCGGGCCUCACAACCUGGUUAUAAGUCUAGAAAAUAGCGGGUCAAGUCUAGUGAUGGUCUCCAGUUCGUGUUCGUGAGGAGAUUUUGAGGAUCGAGAACCUACGAUGGUAUGGCUUUUAUUAACCCUAAUUUCAUUUAAUUAAGGUAGUUGUGAUGUAUGUUAAUCUCUAAUUAGUUAGAUGCAAUUAGAAUAAUUUUUCGAUUUGUAUUUCCACUACGCUUGUAUGCUUUCCAUCACAUGCAAUAUAAAUAAAUACUUUAUCGUUUUAAUAGAAAUAUGAGUUCAAAUCAGAUCAUUUCAAUUUACUAGGCAAUUCGCAUAUUCAAAUCUCUUGGGCUAGCAUUUAUAAAUUCUUUAGAAACCAUUUUCUUGCAAAUCAUUAUCAUAUCCAAAUCGCAUAAGGAAGCAAUUCACAUAACGCAUUUUAUCCUCAACUCAAGCGCUUACCACGCUCUUUUGCUGACUUGCAGCUAUGCAAAAUAAUCUCAAUGCAAUAGAAAAUUCUUCGAUAAUUCCAUCACGCAUAACGUGUUUUUCAAUGGCAGAACAAACAACAAGCAAAUGACAUCUCAUACCAUAUCACAUAACAAGUAUGAGACAUCUUAUUAUUCUAGAUCACACAAUAAGAAUAAGACAUCUUAUAGCACAUUACACGGUAAGAAUAAAUCAUCUCACACUAGAUCACACACCAAGUGUGAGGUACCACAUCGCGUACGAUACCAAAGAUCAUUUCAUCACAAUAUUUCAACUCAUUUCAAAUUCAAUUCAUUUGUAAAUCAAUUUCAUUUUAAGAAUUUGAGAACACAAUAGAAAUCAUGGAACUCAAGAAUUUAGUAGAGAUAAAUUUGAGGAUUCAAAUAUAGUGGAAAUUCUUUUAAUUUGAAAACAUUUUAAGAAGAAACCACUCACAAUCAACUAACCUCCUUUUUGUUGGAGCUCUUGACCAACUUUUGUCGAAAAUCCAAGCUCGUUGUACUUUGAAAUCAAUGUGCAAGUUCUCAUGCUCUUUAGAUAAUUAUCGAGUAAAAUAAGCUCUUAGUAUUGUAUGUUUCCUUUUAAGACUUUUUCACUAAGAUUACCCAUGCUAGAAUGAUUACCUCUAUCUGACGGUGAGCUUCACCUAAUGCUAUCUCACUGCAUAGCUUCUCCCACCUCCUUAUUCUAAAUUCAGUUGGGCAAUAAAGUAAAAUAAACUCACCAGCCUUCUUACACAAGGAUGACGUCAACUACUUCAUGGAGAAGCAAGCUCACACCGCUAUCUCAUUGCAUAACUCUUCUUACCGCGUAAUUGAAACAAUACACAGUUGCUUUGCAACACUUCCAGUCUCCAGUGCCCAUCGCGUGCAAUCUCAAUGCAUAACCCAUUCUUGUCACGUGUAGUCUUAAUGCGUAGUACAAAUCGCGUUUGGAACCUCACAACUCCUACCUCCUUGAUGAAAUUUUGUCCUCAAAAUUAAGUAGUUUAUGCGAAGAGUUGAGGAUACUUAAUCUUCAUUUUCUUUUGGUGGCUUCCUUAACGCCAUGAUUAUUUCAUAAUACCUUGACCAUGGAAAUAAUUUUUGUUAUCAAUACUUGUUCUUUCCUAUCUAACACACGUAAAUGUCUUUCUUCAUAAGUCAAGUCUUUCAUUAUUUCUAUGGACUGCUCUUGAAGUAUAUGUGAGGAAUCUAAAACAUACUUUCUUAACAUGGAAACAUGAAAGACAUUAGGAAUUUUAGACAACUUUGUGGGCAAUCUUAGUUUAUAAGCCACUCGUCCCACACAUUUUAGAAUUUUAUAAGGUCCUAUAUAUCUUGGACUUAGCUUUCCUUUCCUUCCAAAUCUAAUUACACCUUCCCAAGGGGACAAUUUAAGGAAAACCUUGUCUCCAACUUUAAAUUCCAAAGCUUUGUGACGAUGAUCCGCAUAACUCUUUUUCCUAUCGCGAGCAAUGUUCAUAUUUUCUUUAACCGCCUUAAUGUUUUUUGUUGCCACCUAAACUAGUUAUGGCCCAUAAAACUUUCUCUUGCUUUCUUCUUUCCAACAAACUGGUGUUCUACAAUGCCUCCCAUACAAUGCAUUAUAAGGAGUCAUUCCAAUGCAAUGCUAGAAUGAUAACAAUUAUUAUAGACGAAUUCAAUUAGUGAAUCCCUAUCUGAUACUAUGGACAUUAGGGUUCCAUAUUGGCCUACAAUCUUACCUGCAUACAACUUGGCCAAUUUGUCUAAUGGAAAAGUUACUUUAAUAGGGAUAAAUCACAUUGUCUAGGUAAAAUGGUUCACAAUUACCCAAAUUCCAUCAAAGUCACUAGGAUUUCUAAGCAGGCCAAACAAGAAGUUCAUAAGUGAUAUGCUCCCACUUCCAUUCUGGACUAGGCAAAGUACACAAUAAUCCUCUAGUCUUUUGGCGUUUCAGUUUAACUUGUUGACAAAUAAAACACUUAGCUAGAUAUUCAACGAUUUCUUGUCAAAUACCUGGGCAUCAAUGGUAUGCUUUUAAGUUUCUAUACAUCUUAGUACUUCCAAGAUGCAUCAAAUAGACUGAAUUGUACGCUUUUUCCAAAAUACUUUCCUUCAACUCAUUAUUUGGAACACAAAGUCUUCUUUCUUUUAAUAAUGCACCAUCACUUCUGAACGUGCAGUUUAUCCGUCUUUCACAUUUAACUUCUUCAGCUAACUUUCUUAGCACAAGGUCUUCCGAUUGUGUUUGAACAAUCUCUUAUUCAAGUGUGGGCUUAACUUGGAAUCUUGGUUAGUCGCUAUAUUACGUGUUGGUUUUAAAGCUAAAGUAUGGUUAGGAAUGGUCAAAUAGAAAUAGAACCAAGAAAGAAAAUACUUUUUAUUGUUUUGACCCAUUUUUCAAGAAUAUUUAUCAAAGUUUAGGAAUAAAAAAUGAAAAAAAAGUUAUGAAACAAGUACGAUUCUUAAAAAAUGAGAGCAAAAAACAAGAACAUUAUCAAACGAAUCCGACUUUUGUGCCGUGACUCAUGUAAACAACUACAUUAUUUUUCCAUAUGUAUGUUUAAAUCUAUUCACAUAAGCAUAUACAUCCAUAAAUUUUAAUGGCAAAAAGCCUAUAACAAUUGUUUUGGAACAAGCUUCAAACUUUUGCUCAAAAUGUCAAACCUUCCUUCUAAUUCCAAACCCAUGGAUCAAAUUUUUUAGAGAAUUCAACUAAACGUAGUGCCAUCAAAUCCAAGUAUCACGUCACUUUUUUCUUAUAACACCCAAUUGUAUAAUAUGAUUAAAUUAUAUCUUGUAUGGUGCAUUGAAUUAAAAUGUGCCUGAGAUUCCAUUUUAAUAUAUCUUUUCAAUUCUGAAAGCAUCAUAGUAUUGACAAAUUAAAAUGCUAAUACAAAUGCGUUUAUUUAAAUCCCCUUGAAAACAAAUACUGAAAACACUCCAAAUUUAGAGAUAAGGGGACCCUUCACAUAUCUUGCUCAUUUGACAUGGAAAUCACCCAACCAACACUCGGGUAUAGUAAUGCUUUGGAAAAUACAUAAUUCAAAUAGUUAUUGAUGCAUCGAGUAAAGGUAAUAUAUACUCGAUAAUAUAGCUUGAUUGACUGCAGAGAGAAUGAAAGACCUAAUCAUCGCAAUGUGCAAAAUCCACCUCAUAACAACCCCUAUAACCAAGGAAGGAGACUCCUACCAUUUAAAAGCCUUAGAGUUUUUUUUUUUUAUAUUCACGGGUGUCUGGACCAGCUUACACACACCUCGACUGAUCUCACGGAAUAACCUGUUUAACCCUACAACAUUUGGGUGUCAAAGAAACUCGUAGAAAAUUAAUUUCUAAAUAGAUGGUCAUCAUGGAUUGAACUGAUAACUUCUUAGUUAGAUAUGAUUCUUUUUUAUUACUAGACCAACCCAUGAUAGUUUUUAAAAGCCUUAGAGUUACCAACACAGUACACGAUUUGAUCGAUUUUCAAAGUAGGAGGGACUUAUAUAUAGUUCAAAUCUCUCGACAACAUCUUAAAAAGAAAUUAAAAAAAAUCAGAAUAUAGCCCAAUGAAGACACUUUAUCCUGUAUUAAUCAACUUGUUCUGGAAACAUUAAAAUAUAUAUAUAAUCACAACAAAUCACCUAACAAACCUGCACAUACUUCACAAGCACAAUCGAGAGCUGAAAAGAUAUACAUUUGGAAACCAGAAAGGAAUGAAAGAAACUACACGUGAAUUGCUUAGAAAGAAUACUGAUAAGCAACAAAUAAAAAUGUGUAAAGCGUUAUUCGCAGGCUAGAUAUAGAUUAUCAACAUUAUAAACAUUUACCUCAUGACAUAUUCACUGCUCAGGACAUUUGCCCAUAUUUCACAGCAGGGACAUGCCAUAUCUGUUAACAGCCUUCUUCAAACAGAAAGUCACAUCGAGGAGAUCUCCCACAUUAUAGAAUCAAGAACAACCAAAGCAUCUACGUAUAGAGAAAACGGUUGAGUCCUCCGGCUCGGACUCCUGUUCGACCUUUUUUGGACGAUAAUGCUUGAAGAAGGCUUUUACAGCUCCUUCUACUCCAUCCUCGUUUUCCAUGGCCUUGGCUAGCUCAAGAGCAGACUGCUUUACCUGGAAUGAAAGUGAAACAUAAGUUUACAUUUUCCGCUUCAAACGAAUGAGUUCCUCCACCUUAACAUAAUAAUGUUAUCCUUUUUCUUUUUCAUUAGAGGAUCCCCUCAAACCUAUGAUUAUCUGGUAAUGUCAAUGAUCUUCUUAACUUGCAACAUGUAACGAAAUAUCAAUGUCGCACUUUAUUUCUUUCUGAGUCAGUCAUCAAUUGUACGUUUGGCACAUCCACUUUCAAAUGUACUUCCUAGACCUCCCAUUAUGAUCAGAAACAGAAAACAUCAUUAUCUCUAAUAUAGUAUUGGCAAUUGAAUACUAAAGAACAGGGGUUCAAAUUUACGACCAGUCCAUAUUGGAAAUUUUGGUCUGGCUCCCUCGAAAGCAACCUAUUAGUCUUCCUCUUUUCUUUUUCCCUCUUGUAGAAAUAAGUCUUCUUGAGCUUAUUUUCAUACCAUCAAUUUUCCAGUGCAGGAAUCUAAAUUGUUUUCUAAGUAUUGAAAGAUCGGUCAAACUGUUUUCAUGGAAAAUUCGUAGUGUAAAAACAUAGGAAUGAUAUCAUAUUACAGUAUGAAGAGAACUACGGUGGUUACUAAACACCCGAAAGGGAAUUUUGUCCGUAAAUUAAUCCCAAAAUCUCCCCUCUAUCCAACUCGAACAUCAUUUCCAGCUUCUUCAAAGUAAAUCAUAUAUGAUAAAAUCCGAUUUACGGGUUGUGGGUGGGGGUGGGAAGUUAAUUUUGCUUGAACCAAAUUACUUGAUGAAAUGGUGCACAUAUUUUAUUUUAUUUUUUCCCUGAUGAUUUUCAUAAGCACAAUAUGUUCAAGCCUUGAUGAACUAACAGAAAGAUUACCUUCGGAUCUAGCAUGAAGUUUAUGGCCUCCACCAACUUGUUAAAAGAGAACUCUUCAACGGGAAUGGGUGAAGGACCAACUCCUCUAGCAUGUACCCGCUCACCCCAAAAUGGUUGAUCUCCAAAGAAAGGAAUGAUUGUAGUUGGACACUAGAAUGAACCAGGGCAGAGAGAAAGAGAGAGAGAGAUGAAAGUUAGCCAAAAUCAAUCACGUAGCACUAAAAAGACAAGUUUUACAAUGUGAAGCAUUACAGCAGCUUUUAGUCCAGCAGCUGUUGUUCCAGCUCCUCCAUGAUGCACCUGUAAAUAAAACAAUGUAGGGGAAACCCUUUUUCAGAUGCAAGAAACAAGUAAAAGAACUAGCAAAUCAUAGUAAACACCAAUAACCCUAGCAUAGGAUAUCCAGCCUUCAGUUAGAGGAAUUUGGUUAGUUUGCCCAAAUAACCAUUCAAGAGGGAAAAUAGUGAAAAACUGAGGAAGUAUUUGGGUACCUUUUGAUAGUUGAGGUUCAAAAUUCAGUUUUACCUUACUAUUUAACUAGAAGAUGUUCUAAGCCAUAGUUUAUUAGUGUCCACCUUAAAUGAUCUUUCGGAAAAUUUUGACGCCUUGGGACUGGUUAACCCUACCUUUGUAACAUUUUAUCUUAUUUUCUUUCCUAUCGGAAAGAGGAAAAAUCCCUUUUAGAUUAUGUGCCUGUGAGGGUCCCCUAUCUCCCUAUCCUAUUAACAUUGUCUCUAUUAAUUAAUACAACAAAGUUUGAAUUUUUCAAAAUAUUUUAAGUUAAAUUAUAGAUUUUCAGACCUUUUUAGAAACACCACACAAAUCUAUAUUUUCUCAACCAAUAAGAGCUUAGUUCAAUCGGCACACUCAAUUGGCACAGUAUACGCUGAAGACUAAAAGGUUUGUGGUUUAAAUCCCCACCUCCAAUUUAUACUAAAAAAAAAUCUGCAUUUUCUCAAAUUACUAUCCCCAUCCCUCUAGGAAUCUGACGCUAUAUACUCCAUCUCCAUUUUGGUCCAAAUUCAUUAGCAAGUGAUUUUUUUUGAAUGACAAGAAAGUGCGCACACACAAAACAAAUCAUGCUCCCAAAGGGCUGGAACACCCAUAUGCACCCAAAUGAGGCGAAAUCGAAGAGCUAUCUGUCAUGUUGGUCUUCCAAUUGACAAAAGAAUGAGGGGUGGAAGCAAGGGAAGGAGGGAAGAGAGAGCUAAAGAAGAGAACCUUUUUUGGUCAAGUGACCUACAUUAACCUCAAAGUUCAAACUAACAUCAAAUUCAUGGUGGAGGCUACUUUUGAGAUUCACAGAAAGCCACUGACCUAAAAGUAUAGAGAGUAAAUAACAACCAAAGUAUUGGACCAAAAUAGGAUUUACCGUCUCUUAUAUAUAUAACUUAUAGGAGACAGCUAAGACUUCAGACCUUCCGUUUAAACUUGUUUGAGAUAAAAGCAACACCAAUUUGUUCUUAACCAUAAUGAUGCCCAUUUCCAGCAACAAAAUUAAUUAAUCCACUAAUCUCCGUGGAGACUAUUAUUCUCAAGAAAACAAAAUCUCACCCAAAAACAGGGUCAAGAAUAUAUUUUAAUACAAAAAAUAAAUGAGUGAAGAAACAGGAAACAAGAAAAUGAAGAAGAAGCAGAUUCUAUUAGUUAUCUCCGAUUCUUUUAAAAGGAGAUGUAUCUUUGAACCUUACUUUGCACAGGUCUCUUAUUUGUACUAAGAUAUAGUAAUGUUCUGAUAUACAAAGAACCAGCUACAUGAAUCAGCUAUAAAUACUCACCACGGCCUUGCACUGUAAGAAAAGCCAAUCGUGAGGGCAAUUGUCCAAUAAAUAUACGAAGUCCUUUGGUUCUUCCACUGGAAAGAAAUAAAAUUUAAGCUAAAUAAAUUAAAUCUCCCAGAGGCAAUAAUUCCAGGCAGAAAAAGUUUGGGGAGGGGAGCGAACAGGUAGGACUAGUUACAAUCGUAUUGAGGUCACCAAGACAUACUCAGAUAGAAAUUCAGAAACUUACAAUUUCCAAGACCCCCCCAACCUUUGUUGAUGAUGCCCCUCUGCCCAGUACUUUCCAGCGCUUUUACAAUUAUUUGGGUCAUCUUUGCAGGUUCUUGAACAGGCUGACAUACAAUGAAAACUAGGUUAAGAACGUGAGAAGGCAAUUAACCAAAAAGGCUGUACGUUUCUUGAAAAUCAGAUAAAAAAAAACAAUUUGAAUAAUUAUGAGAUACUUCUAGAUGCUACCAAUAAUUGAAACUGAAAAGUAUAUGUCAGAGAUAAGAACAUCAAGAUAGCGUAUGCACUCAAACGGAGAAUAGAACUGGGUUCCUUAUCAGAAAAGGGAAGUUAAUUUGGAAUGUGAAGUGAAUUUUCUGUUUGAAGAAAGGAAGGCAUGGUGCUUGCUGCAAAAUCUUCUUAGGAAAGAGCCUAAGCUGAUGGCCAGAUCGUAGCAGCCACAGCGGAAAGUCUUCAAAUGAGAAGUCAUUUACCAUUUGCAGUAAAUCUAAAAAACAGUUAAACUUUCUAAAAAAAUGGUUGUGCUUUCUCGUAGGAUUUCAGAAGCAAUUUAUUUCAGGUUCAUCAUGAACCAUGCUUGCUUAUCUUCCCCACAUGUCUUUUACAGGUCAGUAAUCAAUUUUAUCUUAAUCAUGGUCCAGGGGAUAUGACGAGGACAUCUCAACCCAAUUGAGAUAUCUGGGAUCCUAACCUUCCAUUUUAGUGUUUGUGAGUUAAGAGAUGAUAUCUUCCUAACUUCAUUUUACUGGAUUGUGUGUAUGUAUAUGUAUGAGUGUGUGUGAGAAAAACGAAGAACGCAAAAAAAGGAGCAAAUAAAAGGCCCUUGCUAUGGUACCACCUAACAAGAAUAGAACUGAAAUAUAUUAAAAUGUAAACGAUCACAAACUCCAAGAUAAACCAACCAUAAGGCAGUUGGAACCUCCCCACGCUUGAGUAUGCUAACCUGCCCCAAUUCGAUCAGAGAUCUGAUCAAGUGGGAAAUUUUUCCAUCCCUAAUAACAAUUGCCUCUCUACCUGACUUCAAUCCCCCUCCUCUAUUUAUAACCAAAUACACGAACUCCCUAACUAAUUAUCUUUAUGCUCUUACUAUUACUAUAGUACUCCUACUACCCAUAAGCCCCUAUUAGUUCCCACACAGCCCCAUUCCAACGGAGUUAGAAAAGACAAUCUCCUUUACACAAAGAUAGGUCAGAAAAAGGAAUGAAGAGUAGGACAAAUGGCAUGGCAGUACAGAACAUUUGGCAAGAAAGAAAUAAAAGGAUCUUCCAAGAAGAGGGUACCAGAUGAAUGAAUAAUUUGCAAUCACCACUAUUCUAUUUGAACUUUUGUACGAUUGGUUCUUAAUGGAAGUUUCACUCCACUACCAAAUAAAAUAAAAUAAAAGCCUACAACCUUUUAUAUAUCUCUUCCACCUGCCCCAACACAAAGGGAGCUUUUGAUGCAAAGAAAGGAGAAACUAUAAAAAGCAGAAAUAUCAAAUUAAAUGGAGGGAAUAAUAUGAAACACUCACAAGGCUACCAAAACCAAUAUAGAUAGGCCUGUCGCCAGCCUUAAGCCAAUUUACAAGCGACUCGGGAGGUUCAUAAUUUGAUGCAAGAUCAAGGAAGCAAAAUCCGACCACAUCCACCUUAGGUCCCCAAUCUGAAAGAAACCCAAGUUUUAAAGCUGGAAUCAUAAGAUUCUACGAUUCUAUAUUCUUUUGUAAAUGGAAAAAUUCCUGAAAUUGCAAGCAUGAUGUUUUAUUACUAGAAAAACAACACGGUAAAUUUUUAAAAGAGUUUCUUGUUAAUAUUGCUUUACAGUAGAAAGAACAACCAUCAUUCAAAGAACAAACCUUUUGGUUUGGGAACAAGAUGCGGACUCCAUAUAUACCCAUGUGGCACAUUUGAUUCAGAGGCAUGUGAACCACUUAAAUAUGUGACAGGUCGUAGCUUCAGCCUUUUUUUCCUAAGAUCAUUAAUCAUGUCCCGUAUCCCAAGCCAAAUUAAGGAGUCUACAAUUUGAUAUGAGAGCUGGAAAUUAAAAAAGUAAAAAAUCAAAUUUGAUGAAGAUAUAAAAGAAAUAAAUAAAAAGAAAAAGGAUAAAAACUCAAUAUGGUGUGUGCACGUAAAUGCAGAAAGCAAUGCCAUAAUAGUUACCCGAUAGCCAGCCUGUUGCUUGACACGGGAUAAAGGAUGAGGAAAUUCACUUGUCGGCCUGACAAGAGGAGGAAAUAGUGCAUGAUUCAAACUCUCUUACAAAGCAUAUAGCACAGAUAUAGGUAUAUUCACACAAUAACAGUAACUCCAGAUUGUCAAAAAAAAAAAAGAUACACUGCCUGGGCAAACUUACGUCCAUGGCAUUGUGAAAAAUAUGUGAAUUGGAAUUUUAAGUGCCUCGGCCACAUGAGUAUGUCCUACAGAAGCAUUGAAGAGGUUAUUGUAUAGAGUUUCUUCACAAAAAUAACAAAUUACAGUCACGUGAGAACUAAAAAGGGAAAAAGGAAAAAAGUGCCAACAUCUUCCAACCUCAUUACAAAAUUCCUCUGCCCAGGAAGAGAGAGAAGUAAAGAGAACUAAUACUUCCGCAUAUAUAAGCAAAAGGAUACUAGAGCAAUAAAAUCAAGAGAAGGUUUGAUAGGGAUGGGACCUUUCCUUAACCUGUUUACCCCCACCUCAUCUACAAACUUCACUCAAUUGAUACAAAAUAAUGUCACAAUCACAAGAAUCUAGAAAAUGAAACAUCAUCAAAGGCCAGCUAUUACAAUAUUUACCCUGGUCAUUCAAGGCAGGAAUAACAACGUACUCUCGCUCUUUGUUUCUUUCCUUUUACAGGGAAAAGGUCGUUAGAGCCUAGACGCAAGGUCUUACCGUAAGCUGGUGGGUUGGCAAUGAUAGCUUCUGCUUCGAAGGGAAUACCAGAUUCAGGAUCAGGAUCUUUGCAAGCUGGAAGUAGUGAAUAAAUGAUUUCCUUCAUUUGAUUCCUUUGGACUGGUAUUUCAGAAGGCCCCGAAGGCAAGAAACCUUUGUUUUUUACCAUGUCUGUUGCAAAAGGAUAAUAUAAUGCUCACAGAACUAUAAAUGGAAAACAGUUGUUUUAAUUCUCUAAUAGAAGUUAAUAAGUAAAUGAAAACCACAUAAGUAUUCAAUCAUUUGAACUAUUGUCGGACAAAUAUUUGUCUUUACAUUAUACCUAUACUCAAAAGCAAAGGCAACUCAUGACAGAAAAAGAAUCACUAACUUUAAAAAAACACAUAUACAAAUAAAUAAAGAUUUAUAGACAAUCUAGAGACUCCUAAGAUCAUAAAUUUGUGAAUCAAAUAUGAAUUAUGACGCUAAAAUUUGAAAUAAAAAAAUAAAUAAUAAAAAACCAAAGAAUUGGAAAUAGAGCCAUCGUGAAUAUUUCCAGAAGGUUUUCAAUAAAGCAGGCAUCAACUUUCAUCUUCCGGACGGUUAUUUUCCACAGUUAGUCACUCGCUUGAUGGCUAUUUAGAGAUGAAAUUAAGAAGCUGUUGUGUCAACAAUACUUAUUUUUGCAUUCCAAUCAAAGAAGACGUCUUUUUUGUGGAGGACAUGGUUAACACGCUUGACGCUACUAAUUCUCCAACCAUUUUCUCAUUAGUAAUGGUACAGAAUUUGAUUUGUAUGAUCUCUAAUUUAUCCUUGUGGAACCAAGGAAGACGCUAAAGCAUGAGAUAGACCAGUAGGCAGUAAAUAAUACAGAAGAGAGAACUUACAGCCAGCAAGAAUUUUAGGAUCUCCACCUAAAGCAAAAAACUCCAGCCCAGCAGUUAAAACAAACUCCUUGAAAUUUGAAUGAGUGGCAAGUCUAACACGAUGACCAUAAUCCUGCAAACAUUGUAAUUGCCCCAUGAGAACAUAAAUUGCCUCAGAUAUAUUAAAUAAAAAUGAUCGAUUGCACAUUUUUUAUAUCAUUUGUAACAGGAAAUGAAUUUUGCUGUCAAAUGACAUGUACAUAAGGAAACAAAGCCUCCAAAAAAUACCAGAAGUUUCAAAUACUUCUCAAAUUGAUCCGAUAGAAGAAAUAUGGUAAUUAUAUAUGAAAUAAAUUAAGAAGCCUUAUCAAUCAGCCUACGCAGUAUGAGAUUUCAAACUUCUUACGAAGUCUCCACUCCUUGGAAAACUUCAAUUUAGUUCCAGCCAAGAAUUGCAAAGAUGCCACAACACCAAAAAGACACUCUGCCUUUAGAGAAGUGACCACUGACCACCAAAGAGUUUGAGUAUUAACUCCCUUGAUUAUUCAACCAAAAAUAGUAAUGAAAAGAAAUACUUCCACAGAAUUGUUUGAAAAAGAAACUUCUAGGAAGGGCCAAAACUUGGACAGAAAAAGCCACCUUAGGGUGGGCAAUUGUUUCUUUUCCGAGAGAUGCAGAUGGGUUAAAUAUUGACUAUAUAACGUGAGAAAGAUAGGCCUUCUUUGCAACUGGUUGUGAAGGCUUCCGAGACUAGCCUACUUUUUGUGGUACACAUGUAUAUCCAGUAAACAUGGGAGUGACCUGGAAGCUUUACAAGUCCCAAUUCUUCUGCUUCAGUCCAAGUCCCUGCAGUCACAUUGCAAACCUGACCUCUUAGCUAAGCUUCAGCAUUUAAUUUGAGAAACGGCUCCAUGUAAGGUUUCGGGAGGGCAGUUGAUAGAGUCUCUUCAGGUUUUAGAUAUACACGUGGGAGAGAUGGAAAGGUGUGCCUGUCUUCUUUGAACCAGAGUGUUGUUCUUUGUGGCUGAGCACCCCAAAAGCCAAGCAUUUAUUUCUUUCUGAGAUAUCUAUAUCUUUCCACAUUCUAUAAUAGAAAGAACUCGUAUGAGUAAGACAGUUUAAUACGCCAGUUUCAGAGGACUCUGAUAGACCCCCAAUUAUACACCAGUACAGUAGAAGGAAGAAGAAGCAAGGUUAAUCGCACGUGCUAGGGAGAAUAGCCUUAGUUUUAAUAUUGUUAGUAGAUGCUCCAUAAUAAAAUAAUAGAGCAUAAGUAGGAGUUUGUUAUGGAGUUAGUUAGAGUAUAAAUAGGAGUUGGGUAUGGAGUAUAAAUAGGGGUCUGUUGGGAGGGAGAAGAGUGAAGAAUUAAGACUGCAAUAUUCCUUGAAAGGGAGGAAGGGCAAGGGGUUAGGGUUCUAUAUUUUUUUCUUCUUUUUACUGCUUGAUAUUGUAAUUCCGUUGCAUAUAUCAAUAAAUAGAAACACUGAAUUAUCAGUGUUCUAUCAGACUCACAUAAGGGUCUGUAGAACUUCGUGAACUCCUGAUCAUGGAUUUUACAGAAGAAAUAUUCGGGACAAAUCCACUUGAUCAUGAAAGUAAGAUAUUGAGAAGAACCGGUUGUGAAGAUUUUUUUAGGGGAAACAUCUUGCUUGGAAGAAAGGAUUCCAGUCCCUCUUGAAAUGAGGGAGAGUUACCAGUUUUCUUUUACCUUGAUUAGUAUGUUUUGUUUCAUUCUGCCGGUAAGGAUAUAUAUAUAGGUGCGCAUGUUGAUCCCUCGACUCCAAGUUUCCUAUGCUUAUUAUGUUUUAUUGUAUUUCAAGCAUUAACCAUUUUCAUUUUAUCCGUUAGAAUUGGUAGGCUUGGCCCUUGGAGUAUUUUUGGUAGGUAAGAAUAUGGAAGAUUUCCCUUUUUCCUAAAUAUUUUCCUUUUUUACUCAUUGUAUUCUAUUUAUUCUUUUUUGUACCUAUUAUAUAAUUCAUAAGAAAAAUAAUAAAACUAAAAACAUCUAUGGUUUUUCUCGAGGUUCUCAAAUUUCCACGUAAGUUUUGGUUUCGUCUUUAUUGUUUUCCAUAUAGUAUCAGAGCAAAGCGACAACGAAACCCUAGAAAAAAAUUUAGGAGGAACCCACACCAAACCAGUCACUGCCACCGUGGACGUCGUCAUGGCAAAAUUAGUCCAAAUGCUUCAGAAACUUCCGAUCUACACAGUGGGACAACCCUCGCCGCCAUCCGCGCAACCCUUCGGCUAGAAUCUCUCUCAUGCGCCACCUCUGUCUGGCAUGUGGGACCACACACCUCUGCCAAUUUGUCUCACCACCCAUCCCAUUCUUUUCUACUCGCCGUUGGAUCCAACGAUCAUGCCCUUCCGAUAAUCCGCAAACUCACGCGCCUCCCAUGCCUCUGAUUAUGGACAGCCACCACAAAAAUUGUCAAAUCUGUCCAUUCGCAUGCUGCUGUCUGCCGACCCUUUGCAGCAACCCUUUAAUGGAACUGAAGGUGUCCAUAGCUGAUCAGGGGUUGAAGCGGGAGUCUUCGGCGCAUUCCAAACCAACUGAGUUGCCGAUGUAUUCCAAGAACCCGGUAAUUUCGCUUCCUAAUGUGCCUUCAAAUUAUAUAACUAACUCUGCUGCCUUUAGUGCUCAAUCCUUGACCCAUGAUAAUGAGAAGAAUAGUGGGAAACCAAUCCUCGUUUGUGAGCACUGCAAGAAACAAUAGCACACCAAGGAUCAGUGUUAGAAACUCCACGGCCGGUCUCUAAGAGAUAACAAAUGUUCCUCCAACGAGCAACAGAACUCAGGAUGUACCGAUGUUAGAGAUACUGUCAGCACCUCUCGGUCAACUAGCUCUACUAGCCGCUCUACUACUAGCCAAACCGGCCCUCUUACUCUAGGCGCCAUUGCUCAGUUAGGUAUGCCUCAGUCCCUUGGCCUUAGUGUUGAUGGGAAGAAUUCAUGGAUUUUGGACUCGGGGGCUAUAGAUCGCUUGAUAAGUUCUUCGGAGCACUGUCUCUUAUACCCCUGUGCCGGUAAUGAGAAAAUCCGGAAAGUUGAGGGCUCUUUAGCCCCGAUUGCUAGCAAAGGACAAAUAGUUAUCUUUGACGAUUUCUCUCUCCAUAAUGUUUUGCAUGUGCCCAAGUUUUCUUACAAUUUGUUAUCCAUUAGUAAGAUCACCUGUGAGCUGCACUAUAAAGCUAAUUCUGACCUAAAUUUGUUUGUUUUCAGGACUUGAGUUCGGGGAGGACGAUUGGCAUUGACUGACAUAGCAAGGGACUUUACAUCCUUAAUGAUGAUACCUCCGGUACUAGUAUCUCUAGGACUAGUUUACUGUCUUCCUAUUGUAGCAUCUCUGGACAUGACUUUAUGUUGUGGCAUUUUCGGUUGGGUCACCCGAACUUUACUUAUAUGAAAUAUUUAUUUCCCCAUCUUUUUCCUAAAAUCAAUGUCUCCUUGUUAUUUUGUGAUGUGUGCAUUCGAGCAAAACAACAUCGAGUUUCUUUUCCCUCACAACCAUAUAAACCCACUCGACCGUUUACCCUUAUCUAUAGUGGUGUUUGGGGUCCUUCCAAGAUCACAAACUCAUCUGGGAAAUGGUGGUUUGUAGCUUUCAUUGAUGAUCAUACCCGUCUUACUGGGUCUACCUUAUCAUCGGCAAAUCUGAGGUUUUCUCUAUUUUUCAAAACUUCUAUCACUCCAUUGAAACACAAUUCCAUACAAAAAUUGCAAUUCUUCGAAGGGAUAAUGGUUGGGAAUUCCAAACCAUAACCCUAGUGAAUUUCUAGCCUCCAAGGGGAUUGUUCACCAAAACUCAUGCACCUACACUCUUCAACAAAAUGGGGUGGUCGGGCAAAAAAAACAUCACCUUCUGGAAGUAGCUCGUUCCCUUAUGCUAUCCACUUCCCUUCCUUCAUACUUGUGGGGAGAUGCUAUUCUUACAGCAACUCAUUUAAUCAAUAGAAUGUCUUCUCGUAUACUCCACCUUCGUCUUUAGAUUGUCUUAAGGAGUCCUACCCCUCUACUUGUCUUGUUUCUGAGGUUCCUUUUUGUUUGUUUGAGUGUACUGCUUAUGUCCAUAAUUUUAGCCCAAAUCAAACCAAAUUUACCCAUCGAGCUCUGGCAUGUGUAUUUGUUGGGUAUCCCCUUCAUCAACACGGUUAUAAAUAUUUUCACCCACCGUCUAGGAAAUACUUUGUCACUAUGGAUGUUACUUUCUGUGAGAACCGACCCUACUUUCUUGUUAGCCAUCUCUAGGGGGCAAGUGUGAGUGAAGAGUCUAAUAGCACCUUCGAAUUUAUCGAACCUACUCCUAUUACCGUGUCUGACAUCGACCCUCAUCUCAUAGUCCUACCCACAAACCAAGUUUCCUGAAAAACAUAUUACAAGAGAAAUCUCAAAAAGGAAGCUUAAUGUAAUUCAAGUUUGGAUUUAAUUUCUCACAAUAAUUCUCUACCUCUAAUGGCUAAGAGAAGGGGUAUUUAUUAAAAAUGUGUAAGUACAAGUAGUUGAUAUAACUGUUUCUAUGAAACAGUUUUAACAGUUAACAGUUUAAACAAUUAAACUAUUUUACUAACUAUCUACAGCUGUUAGUUAACAGUUUAAACAAUUAAACUAUUUUACUAACUAUUCUGUAUUACAUCAUUCCACCCCCCUAAGAUGGAACUCGACUCGAGUGACCUUAGUCUGCUAAGUUGAAAUCGUCUGGAGCAUAGUAUUGCUUUAAGUCUGCCACAUUAAAGACUGGGUGAAUAUGCAUGUCUGGUGGUAGUUCUAUCUUGUAGGCAUUUUCUCCAACUUUCUUUAGGAUACGGAAUGGGCCAAGCUGUCUGUCUUUGAGUUUAUUGUAUGUGCCAGUGGGGAAUCGAUUCUUUCGAAGGUGGAUCAUUACUAAGUCUCCUUGGGAAAAGCCAGCUUGUCUUCUUUUCUUAUCAGCUAUUUUCUUAUAGGAUUCUGUUGUUUGCAUUAAGUGAUCAUAUUAGGUUGCCUAGUGUUAGCAAGUGCCAAAUCCCACUGUUUCGGUUUAGUUCCACUAAGACAACGUAUUAGGUUGCCUAGUGUUCUAUUAGUGACAUCGGCCUGUCCAUCUGUUUGUGGGUGUGCUGCAGUACUGAAUUUCAGAGUUGUGUCAAGUUUCUUCCAUAGGGUCCUUAAGUCCUACCCACAAACCAAGUUCUUCCUCAAUCUGCCUUUUGGGAAGAGAGACUAGUUUCUUUGGCGUGCUUGUGUUUGUGCUAUUAUGUGGCUUUUGAGGGAUGAAAGGAAUUGUAGGGUUUUUAGAGGGGUUGAGAGAGAGGCUAGAGAUUUUGGUCUCUUGUUCAUUUUCAUAUUUCUCGUUGGGCUUCAAUCUCGAAGGCUUUUUGUAACUAUCCCCUUGACAUGAUUUUGUAUAACUAGGGUCUUUUCCUGCAGUGGGAUACACUUCUUUUCAUUGAAAAAUAAUGAAAGAAUACAAGGACAUACAAAAAACAAGUCCAUCGAAAAAACAAGCCCACUACAAGAAAAGUUUCCAACUAAGCAAAAUGUUACCAAGGAAAUAAUUACAAAAAAAACUUUGAAAUCAAAGUCCAAAGAGAAACAUGGGAUCCCAGUAAGGACCAAAUCUCUUAAGUUUCCUUCUCAAAACCUCUAAAAACUCUCUUGUUCCUUUCACCCCAAAUAUCCCAAAUCACAGCACACACCCUUGCAAGCCACAAAAACCAGUCUUUCUCUCGAAAAGACAGAUUGCAAGAGAAACUCCUCUACAUAACACGGAUCGUUCUUGGACCAGCAAUCUGAAGACCAAACUUUUGAAAGAAACAAGACCACACAAACCUCACGUACCGAUAUGUUGGAAUUUGUCCUAAAACUCAUAGUUUGUAAUCAUAUUCUACUCAAUAAAGUCGUUAUUGAUACUAUAAUUUUAAAGCCAAUAAACUAGGGACCUGAAGCUAUUAUUGAGUAAAAUUGAACUUUAUGUAGAGACAUAAACGUGAAUCAAGUUCGAGUAUAUAACUUAAAUAGUCUAUAGUAUAUGAAUAUGAUUGGGCACCUUAUUCUAGGGACACUAUGGAUGUGGCCUACUUUGUAGUUAGUACAAACGAUGUGAUCCUAAAUCGUUCAUGUAGAGACAUGGAAGUGGGAGCAUCCUAUGUAAAGAGUUUACAUAAGACUGAAACAAUGAAAUAGUCGCUUUUGGGUUAUAACGCCGUUGACUUUAAUAAAACCGAUUAUUUCGUUAAUAGAUAUCCAGUGUAACUUAAUCUUAAUCUUGAGCUAACUAUGAACUUCUAUUCACACAAAAUUAUCCUUAGAUCUGCAUAGGUGAGGAUAGCUCAAUGGCGCUGGCCCAAUAAGCCUCCCAUUUCAGGGGUAAGACCGGGUGGAUAGCUAGGGAUAUAAGGUGCAAGACAGAAUUCACCCAAUCACUCCUACCCGUUUUAGGAUUAAUAGAUAAGUUGUUCCCUUAAUGACCGAAUUCGAGUCUUGAACAAGGGGCCCCACCCUCUCAUUCACCUGAGAGGGAUUCGGUUUAGAGGUUGGACUUUAAACCAAUUGUUCGAUAGUGGAUCAGUGAGACUUAAGGAGCAAGAUAUAAUCUCAGAGAUAAAACGGUACUUUGACCUAGCCGAGGUUUUGAACAACCUGUGAAGGAUUAACUUACUUAUCAUGGUUAUAUCACAUAGACAUAAAUAUAUCUAUAGUGAAGGGAGUACAAAUACGGGACUUUAGUGGAAUGACCCGUUAGUUAACGAAGGUUGAUUAACUUGGCCUAAAGAGUUUAGCAAGUUAAUCUCGAAUCGUUGGAGCCCAUGAUCUAUAGGUCCAUUAGGUUCUCCUGCUAGCUCACAAGGAAUCAACUUAGAACAUUAUGAUGAAAUAAUUUGAAUUGUUCGAAUUAGGUAAAGAGAGAAAACCCGACGAAUAUAUUUGAUAUAGCCGUCGGAUAUAAGUUAAAGAUAGAGUUUAUGUUUAAAUAUGAUUUAAAAUAUGAAUACAGAUUCAUAUUAGAAAGCUUGGAAUUAAUGGAAAUGGUCAAAGUACUAAAAAGUCACAGUGUUGACUUUUGACUUCGAAAAAUCAAAAUUUGACCGAUUUUAUAUUCAAAUGUGAUUUGAAUUUUGGAAAAAUGAAUGUGGAUUCAUGCUCGGGAGGUCAAAACUAGUCAAGACGGAUAAAAUGGUAAAAAGUCAAAUUGUUGACUUUUUACUUUUAAAUGUCAAAUUACCAUAUUACCCUUGGACUAAAUUGUUGAGAUUUGGCAAGCACAUUGCAUGUAAUUAGCAAGUGGCUUCGUAUGCAUAUGUGACACUUAGUUGUUGAUAUACCAAGUGUGGAGAAUGAGAAGCUCACUACAUGCAAUUUUGCAUGUAGUUUGCUUAUAAAAGGAGUGGACUAUUCCAAAUGAAAGAUAAGUAGUUUUUGUUUUUGGAUGAAAUUGAUUUUGUAAUUUUGAAUUACAAAAUCAAACCAAAAAUUCCUUUUCUCUCCACAAGAUCUCAAAGCUAACUUCUUCCUCCUAAAUUCAUCACUCUCUCUAUUUUCUACAUCAUUUGAGUCCCACAACUUGGUUCUAAGUCUGGAGAAUAGUUGGUCAACGCUAUUAGUAGUCCCGACUUCCAAUACGUGACGAGAUUACGACAAUAGAAAAGCAUCAAAGGUGAGUUUUUCUAUUAACCCUAUUUUUUUUUUAUUUUAGGGUUGGUAAUGUAUGUUAAUCACUAAAGUGUUUAGUUGCAAUUAGAGUAAAAUCCGAUCUUUAUUCCGCUGCGUAUGUCUACUGUUUCCAUCACGAAAAUCCCAAAGCAUGUGAAUCAGGUUUUCCUCCGCCUUCCAACAGAGAAUACAACAAGAUAGGCCCAUAAGCGUAGGUCUCAAUAAGCCUAUCCAAGGUAUUCAUGUGGCCUAACAAAACUUGCCAAAUAAAGAAUUUGAUCUUCUUUGCUAUCUUGAUCCUCCAAACCUCGCAAAACACCAACUUAAGGGCUAGGCUUCCAAACACGAACAUUCCUCCUCCCUUCCCUAAAGUCACACUCAUCGAGCAAAGAAAGAAGGGAUGUCAUUUCUGUCGUAUCCCUAUUGGAUAAGCGACGACGGAACGUGAAAGAAAAAGAUACUGAGCUUUCUGCCCAAACCAAAAAGUCAGAAAUAGGAUGGUUUUUAAGAAAGGACAACUGAUAAAGAUGAGGAUAAGCCUAACAAAGGGGCUAUCCCCAACCCACUGAUCUUCCCAACUUUGGUCUGUAAUUGUCUAAGAUCCAAAAAGAAAUAUAAGAGUAGACUGAGUAGACUGGAAAGGAAAUGAGAGAUUCAUCUUCUGCAAGUUUCAUUAACUGGUGAAAGAACAAGGGUUCAUCUCCCAUAAGCUAGACGGAGUUGGAACAGAAACAUAUCCUCGUUAUUUAUAAUGGACAAGAGGUUGAAAUUGCAAAAGGCCUAUACAAAGAAAAACUUAAGGCUUAUGAGAGAAAUUAAACCUCUUUUAGAAAAGGAAAUACUUAAGGCUGCUACCAAAACCAGAAGUUCUUUUUUUUUUCCCUCUCAAGGCAUAGUUUUCAAAUAGUAGCUUUUACGUGAAACCCCCAUGGGGGGGGGGGGGGGGGGGGGAAAUUACUACAAAAGAGCUCCAACUCCAAACAAGUUUAUGAGUAAUUAGUUUAGUAAACAAAAUUAAAGUGAAAAUCAUAGAAGUUUCCACACCUGUAGGCGUUUUCCAAUUGCUACAAAUGGCUGUACAUCUCCACGUGUUCCAACAAUAAGCAUUACUAUUUGCAAAGGUGGAAUAUCCUGGAGGUCUGCCACAUCAGGAGGCUCUUCUUCAAUUAGAUCAUGAGGGACUUCUUUUGGACCAAUACCAAGAGGUGCUCCAACGUCUCCAGGGAUUUCAAAUUCCACAGUUCCAUCAUCCUUCACUGUGGCUAUUCUGUUUAACAAUUUCAGCUGUACAGUUUUAAAAAGUUAGUUUACCAAAACCUUUUUCUAGGAAUUUUCCACCAAUUAAUAUCAAAAUGUGCCUGUUAUUACAAAGUCGUUUUUUCUUUUUUUCUUUUUUUUGACAAAUUACAGUUUCAGAUUUUUAGGUUUAAAUUUUCUAUCUAGUCCUUAAAGUUUCAAGGUGCCAUUUUAAUCCUUGUGGUUUCAAAAAUAGUUUUAACUCGUCCCCAUUCGAAUUGAGGGUUAGUUAACUUAACCGAGAUAUGACAUGACAACUAAGUGUUGACUAGGCUUUGUUGACUUGUAUUGUUUGAAAUGAGAUGGCAAAAUUUAAGAAUUUUAUAUCUAAAUUUUAUUAUGUGGCUUUUUUAUUCUAUUUUCUCUCUCCCAUCAGCUCUCUUCUCUCAUUUUCCCCCUUCCACUAGUGUCUCCCCCCUCCUGGUUUGUUCCCCACUCUUGCCAACCCCCUAUCUCCCCUCUCCUUUCAGUUUCUUGUUUUCUUCCCAUAUCUGGUUUGUCUCUCUUACUCCUGCACUGACCCUCAUUCUUACUCUCCUACUUGUGUAGCCGAAAAAAGAUAUUGAUGAGUUCAUAAACCAGUCAACAUAACCAACUUUGAUUGUGUUAGGAUCCCACCUAACAAGAAUUAUCUCAAGAACACAGGAUGAACUCAAGAACAAUCAGAUAUGAAAAUAUACGAAAUAUAUGGUAUAAUAUCACAAAAACAAAGUAACCCCUAUCCUUUCGAUAGGACUAGACUCUCCCAAAUUCCCACACAAGGAAACCUCAUUACAAAAUUCUCCACCCUUUUCCCUAACCCCUCUUCUUCUUCUGUAUAUAGCAAAAAGACCUAACUUACUAACUAUUUACUAAAAUGCCCCCAACUAAUAACCAUAUUAAUUUUCUACUACUCUUUUAUUCUAUCCCACUGAUAGGUACCGAGAUAAUUAGUGGGGUUAGGGGUAUGAGGGUAAUUAGAUAAAGAGUUGGUUACUAAUAGUCAGUUACCCUUGUUGCACUUGCCGAUUUAUUGUUUUGCUGAGUUUUUAGGAGAGAUUUGAUUUUGGGACUUUACAAUUCUGCAUUGAGAAAAUUAUUGUAAGAAUUGGACAAAUGAGGGAAAUGAGAGUAUCUGUAUGAGUUGUUUUCAAAUUGGUUCUUUGAUUCUUUCCCAACUCAAGAUUUCUUUUUUUUUUUUUUUUUGAAGCGGAGACAAGCCUCUUCAUUCAUGAUAAAAGAGAGACUAACGCUCAAAACACAAGAGAACUAUACAGAGUGCAAAAGGGCAAAAACAGAUACAAACAAUAACCAAAACAAAGACCGCAGUAACAGCGAGCUAAUCAAAAUCUUCUAACCUGAAACAACAAAUGGGAUCUAGAAUGUAAACUAGGUACAAAGUAAUCAAAACAGAUUAUUUCAAAGUAUUUGAUUGCUAAGGUGUAGGAAUUUUUUGUUUAUUUAAAGUUCUAAAAUUUAGGAAGAGGAAAAAAAUGUUAAAGAGAGAAGUUUGAAAGAUCGAAGAAUGAAACAAGGGGGUUAAUAGGGUAUUAAAAAAGUGAGGGAAACGGGAUGACAAAUGAGACUAGUUGAUUGAAGUAGAUGAGAGAAGAAAUGAAAAAUGGAGACGAUUGGUCAUUAGAUACACAUUUUCUGUUUGUAUAUUGACAGUAAAGACAUUAUCAACUUCUUUUCAAAGGGUGAGAGUAUUAAUGCAACUAUUGAAAAUUCAAUAGUAUUUUUUAAACGAGACACAAAAUAUUCACGUUCAUAUACUAACAAUAGUGCACUUUUGAAUUUUUUGGAAGUUC
Molecule: long non-coding RNA, 28318 nt
Filed under: Cucumis sativus (cucumber)
Lineage: Eukaryota; Viridiplantae; Streptophyta; Magnoliopsida; Cucurbitales; Cucurbitaceae
Description: long non-coding RNA (CSAT_LNC001164)
Source: RNAcentral